GCAGCACGGGAGCUUGCUCCUGGUGGCGAGUGGCGAACGGGUGAGUAAUGCAUCGGAACGUGCCCAUUUGUGGGGGAUAACUAGUCGAAAGACUAGCUAAUACCGCAUAAGCUCGAGAGAGGAAAGCGGGGGAUCGAAAGACCUCGCGCAGAUGGAGCGGCCGAUGUCCGAUUAGCUAGUUGGUGAGGUAAAGGCUCACCAAGGCGACGAUCGGUAGCUGGUCUGAGAGGACGACCAGCCACACUGGGACUGAGACACGGCCCAGACUCCUACGGGAGGCAGCAGUGGGGAAUUUUGGACAAUGGGGGCAACCCUGAUCCAGCCAUUCCGCGUGUGGGAAGAAGGCCUUCGGGUUGUAAACCACUUUCGGACGGGAAGAAAUCGACGUGACAAAUAAUCGUGUCGGAUGACGGUACCGUAAGAAGAAGCACCGGCUAACUACGUGCCAGCAGCCGCGGUAAUACGUAGGGUGCGAGCGUUAAUCGGAAUUACUGGGCGUAAAGCGUGCGCAGGCGGUUAUGUAAGACAGAUGUGAAAUCCCCGGGCUUAACCUGGGAACUGCGUUUGUGACUGCAUAACUGGAGUACGGCAGAGGGGGGUGGAAUUCCUGGUGUAGCAGUGAAAUGCGUAGAUAUCAGGAGGAACACCGAUGGCGAAGGCA
RNAcentral lists this ribosomal RNA (661 nucleotides) under uncultured Rhodocyclaceae bacterium. RNAcentral's name for it is "bacterial SSU rRNA". It matches the Rfam family "Bacterial small subunit ribosomal RNA", at positions 66 to 723 of the family's 1533-position model. The record is from RNAcentral. Lineage: Bacteria; Pseudomonadati; Pseudomonadota; Betaproteobacteria; Rhodocyclales; Rhodocyclaceae.